GAGGUUUUAGCUUAAUUAAAGCGUCUGAUUUGCAGUCAGAAGAUGUAGUGUAAAGCUCUACAGGUCUUC
This 69-nucleotide transfer RNA is filed under the name Sphenomorphus incognitus. RNAcentral's name for it is "tRNA-Ala". It matches the Rfam family "tRNA". From Rfam's summary of the family: Transfer RNA (tRNA) molecules are approximately 80 nucleotides in length. Their secondary structure includes four short double-helical elements and three loops (D, anti-codon, and T loops). Lineage: Eukaryota; Metazoa; Chordata; Lepidosauria; Squamata; Scincidae. The record is from RNAcentral.